ACGUGUAGGCGGUUCUUCGCAUCUUGUUUUAAAUAUCUUCGCUUAACGAAGGAAAUGGACAAGAGAUGGAAGGACUUUGAAAUCUUUCGGGGCAACUGGAACUUUAGGUGGAGCAGUGAAAUGCGUUGAUAUCUAAAGGAACACCGAUGGCGAAGGCAGGUUGCUAGGAAGUAUUUGACGCUGAGACUCGACAGCUUGGGGAGAGAAGCAGAUUAGAUACCUGCGUAUUCCAAGCCGUAAACGUAUGGGUGCUAGAUCGUCCCGUCUGACGGGACGGUCGCAAGCUAACGCGUUAAGCACCCCGCCUGGGGAGUACGAGCGCAAGCUUAAA
This 331-nucleotide ribosomal RNA is filed under the name uncultured bacterium. RNAcentral describes it as "bacterial SSU rRNA". It matches the Rfam family "Bacterial small subunit ribosomal RNA", at positions 567 to 898 of the family's 1533-position model. The record is from RNAcentral.